Long non-coding RNA from Cyprinus carpio carpio, 587 nucleotides. NCBI's taxonomy places the organism in Eukaryota, Metazoa, Chordata, Actinopteri, Cypriniformes, Cyprinidae. The record is from Ensembl.
GGAGGAGGCUGCAUUAAGUCCAUGGUGGUAAAGGGCAGAGUAAACGCUAUGGAAUCAGUUCCAAUCCUUUUGAGAUGGGUUAGAAGGUAAGAACCUACCAUCACCCCUCAUGACUGAGAACAUGAAGGGGUUCAUCAAAGAACUGUUUAAAUUAGAUGCUGCAAGAUGUGGGGAGCACUAUUGUAUUGCAACGGAGGCGAGGGAAACCUUCCAGAAAUAUUGAAUGCAGUUUAAGUGGUGUGCUGAGGGACAUGAAUCUGACUACAUGAGUGUCAUCUUACUCCAGAGACUAUACUUGCUGAAGAUCUGGCCACAGAGAAAAUCAAAACCAAGAACAGAGAGAUAAAGGAAUUCCUUUACAGCAUAAAGAGAACAGGUGCCUGAGGACAUUUCUGAUAUGUAUCUGAUCAUCGUGAGCAGUAUGUGCUGCUUAAACAAAAGUUUCCUUCUCUUGCAGUGAGGCUGUCAUUAAAGCUGAUGGCGGACAGUGGCAGGGUCAGCUCCUAUCGCCCUUGUUUCCUCCACACAGGGUGCCAAGAUGUAUUGGUACGAGAGACCACCUAGAAUACAAGCCUGGCUUUUCAGAG